UACGUAGGGACCGAGCGUUGUCCGGAAUCAUUGGGCGUAAAGAGCGUGUAGGCGGCCACUUAAGUCCUGCGUGAAAUCUUGCGGCUCAACCGCAAGCGGUCGUGGGAAACUGGGUGGCUAGAGUGCGGGAGAGGAGAGUGGAAUUCCUGGUGUAGCGGUGGAAUGCGCAGAUAUCAGGAGGAACACCGGUGGCGAAGGCGGGUCUCUGGGCCGUUACUGACGCUGAGGAGCGAAAGCGUGGGGAGCGAACAGG
This 253-nucleotide ribosomal RNA is filed under the name uncultured bacterium. Its description in RNAcentral is "partial 16S ribosomal RNA". It matches the Rfam family "Bacterial small subunit ribosomal RNA", at positions 524 to 776 of the family's 1533-position model. The record is from RNAcentral.